UGGGGAAUAUUGGACAAUGGGCGAAAGCCUGAUCCAGCCAUGCCGCGUGUGUGACGAAGGUCUUCGGAUUGUAAAGCACUUUAAGUUGGGAGGAAGGGCAGUAAGCGAAUACCUUGCUGUUUUGACGUUACCGACAGAAUAAGCACCGGCUAACUCUGUGCCAGCAGCCGCGGUAAUACAGAUGGUGCAAGCGUUAAUCGGAAUUACUGGGCGUAAAGCGCGCGUAGGUGGUUCGUUAAGUUGAAUGUGAAAGCCCCGGGCUCAACCUGGGAACUGCAUCCAAAACUGGCGAGCUAGAGUAGGGCAGAGGGUGGUGGAAUUUCCUGUGUAGCGGUGAAAUGCGUAGAUAUAGGAAGGAACACCAGUGGCGAAGGCGACCACCUGGGCUCAUACUGACACUGAGGUGCGAAAGCGUGGGGAGCAAACAGG
RNAcentral lists this ribosomal RNA (429 nucleotides) under Pseudomonadota bacterium. RNAcentral describes it as "Proteobacteria bacterium partial 16S ribosomal RNA". It matches the Rfam family "Bacterial small subunit ribosomal RNA", at positions 355 to 776 of the family's 1533-position model. Lineage: Bacteria; Pseudomonadati; Pseudomonadota. The record is from RNAcentral.